UGGGGAAUAUUGGACAAUGGGCGCAAGCCUGAUCCAGCCAUGCCGCGUGAGUGAUGAAGGCCCUAGGGUUGUAAAGCUCUUUUGUGCGGGAAGAUAAUGACUGUACCGCAAGAAUAAGCCCCGGCUAACUUCGUGCCAGCAGCCGCGGUAAUACGAAGGGGGCUAGCGUUGCUCGGAAUCACUGGGCGUAAAGGGUGCGUAGGCGGGUCUUUAAGUCAGGGGUGAAAUCCUGGAGCUCAACUCCAGAACUGCCUUUGAUACUUUUAUUCUUGAGUCCGGGAGAGAGAGACGGAAUUCCAGGUGUAGUGGUGAAAUACGUAGAUAUCUGGAAGAACACCAGUAGCGAAGGCGGUCUCUUGGUCCGAUACUGACGCUGAGGCGCGAAAGCGUGGGGAGCAAACA
RNAcentral lists this ribosomal RNA (402 nucleotides) under uncultured bacterium. Its description in RNAcentral is "bacterial SSU rRNA". It matches the Rfam family "Bacterial small subunit ribosomal RNA", at positions 355 to 774 of the family's 1533-position model. The record is from RNAcentral.